Molecule: RNase P RNA, 404 nt
Filed under: Candidatus Scalindua sp.
Lineage: Bacteria; Pseudomonadati; Planctomycetota; Candidatus Brocadiia; Candidatus Brocadiales; Candidatus Scalinduaceae
Also listed under: 1 other name
Description: RNase P RNA component class A
Rfam family: Bacterial RNase P class A
About the family: Ribonuclease P (RNase P) is a ubiquitous endoribonuclease, found in archaea, bacteria and eukarya as well as chloroplasts and mitochondria.
Source: RNAcentral
GAAGCAGGCAAGAUGAUCGUUUCAGCGCAAUCGUUUUUAUUUUUUCGAUUUUCGCUGGAGAGGAAAGUCCGGGCUCCACAGGGCACAGUGCUCCGUAACACGGAGUGGGAGUGAUCUCAAGGAAAGUGCCACAGAAAAUAUACCGCCAUAUGAGAUAAAGAGAUGCAUCCCUCACAUGGUAAGGGUGAAAAGGUGGGGCCGUACCUAUACGGCUUAAUGUAAGAGCCCACCACUUCCCGGGUGAUCGGGAAGGUAUGGCAAACCCCACUGGGAGAAAGGCUAAAUUGUGAGGUACAAGCGGCCCGUUUCAUGGCCUCCGGGUAAGCCGAUUGAUCUUAAUGGCAACAUUAAGGCAAGAUAAAUGAUCGUCUAAAACAGAACCCGGCUUAUUGCCUGCUUCCCUU